ACUAUUUUGGCAGAUAAGUGUAUUAGAUUUAGAAUCUAUAAAUGUAAUAUUAAAUUACAAAUAGUA
Molecule: transfer RNA, 66 nt
Filed under: Rhabdoblatta saussurei
Lineage: Eukaryota; Metazoa; Arthropoda; Insecta; Blattodea; Blaberidae
Description: tRNA-Leu
Rfam family: tRNA
About the family: Transfer RNA (tRNA) molecules are approximately 80 nucleotides in length.
Source: RNAcentral